GGGGGCCCGCAAGCGGUGGAGCAUGUGGUUUAAUUCGAUGCAACGCGAAGAACCUUACCUACUCUUGACAUCCAGAGAAUAUAUCACAGAUGCCAUAGUGCCUUCGGGAACUCUGAGACAGGUGCUGCAUGGCUGUCGUCAGCUCGUGUUGUGAAAUGUUGGGUUAAGUCCCGCAACGAGCGCAACCCUUAUCCUUUGUUGCCAGCGAUUAAGUCGGGAACUCAAAGGAGACUGCCAGUGAUAAACUGGAGGAAGGUGGGGAUGACGUCCAGUCAUCAUGGCCCUUACGAGUAGGGCUACGCACGUGCUACAAUGGCGCACACAAAGAGAAGCAAACUUGCCAAAGCUAACAGACCUCAUAAAGUGCGUCAUAGUCCGGAUUGUAGUAUGCAUCUCCACUCCUUAAAGUCGGAAUCGCUCGUAAUCGUGGAUCACAACGCCACAGCUGAAUGCCUUCCCCGGCCUUGUACACACC
Molecule: ribosomal RNA, 475 nt
Filed under: uncultured bacterium
Lineage: Bacteria
Description: bacterial SSU rRNA
Rfam family: Bacterial small subunit ribosomal RNA
Source: RNAcentral